RNAcentral lists this ribosomal RNA (402 nucleotides) under uncultured bacterium. RNAcentral's name for it is "bacterial SSU rRNA". It matches the Rfam family "Bacterial small subunit ribosomal RNA", at positions 355 to 774 of the family's 1533-position model. The record is from RNAcentral.
UGGGGAAUCUUACACAAUGGGGGCAACCCUGAUGCAGCGACGCCGCGUGAGCGAUGAAGCCCUUCGGGGCGUAAAGCUCUUUCGACCGGAACGAUAAUGACGGUACCGGGAGAAGAAGCUGCGGCUAACUACGUGCCAGCAGCCGCGGUAAUACGUAGGCAGCAAGCGUUGUUCGGAGUUACUGGGCGUAAAGAGUGCGUAGGCGGUUUUCUAAGUUCGGUGUGAAAUCUCCCGGCUUAACUGGGAGGGUGCGCCGAAGACUGGGAAGCUGGAGUGUGGGAAAGGCAGGCGGAAUUCCUGGUGUAGCGGUGAAAUGCGUAGAUAUCAGGAGGAACACCGGCGGUGUAGACGGCUUGCUAGACCAUAACUGACGCUGAGGCACGAAAGCGUGGGUAGCAAACA